UGAACAGUAGCAGUGAUGAUGUGGUAGCCAUGUAUUAGUUCGAUUUUAUCAAGUGGUUAUUCUCAAAUGUUCAAGUUUUGGACAAAAAUUAAUUUGGAUUGGUGGAAUUUGUUUUAGGAGGGAAAAUAAGUCUUGGGGCCUUUUUCAAUUUUCAAGACUUGACUUUUUCUUGUACUUCUCCUUAAAACAUGGGUCCUUAAAUCAUGGAAAAGUGGUUGAGAAGUAAUAUAAAGUCUUUUGGUGGUUGGGG
This 250-nucleotide long non-coding RNA is filed under the name Capsicum annuum. Its description in RNAcentral is "long non-coding RNA (CANN_LNC016830)". The record is from RNAcentral. Lineage: Eukaryota; Viridiplantae; Streptophyta; Magnoliopsida; Solanales; Solanaceae.